GAGCUGUUCCCUUCUCCUUUCUCCGGGACGACCCCGUUGGCCGCGUUCUCUGUCCCGUUCUCGAUCCCCAUCGUCCCGUUCUCGAUCCGGUUGACCCCGUUCUUGAUCCACUUGACCCCGUUCCCGUUCUGGUUGACGCUGUCGACCCCGUUCUUGAUCCCAUUGAUGUUUCUGCUGCUGUUCUUGAUCCAGUUGACGCUGCUUUCGAUCUGGUCGACCCCGUUCUCGAUCUGGUUGACCCCGUUCUUGAUCCCGUUGACAUCUACUCUGCUGUUCUUGAUGUGGUUGACCUGGUUGGCGAUGGCGGCCAAGGCCGGGCGGCGACGGUCGCGUUGGGGGCCGGCGGCCAGCUGGGCCAAGGGACGGAGAGCCGGGAGAGCGUCGUCCAAGGAGGAGGUGGGGGGUUCCGUCAGGUGGCGGAGGGCGCGGGUGACGGACGGGCAGGCCGGGUGGCUCGGGGCCAUGGCGGCCAAGCGGGAGGCCAAGGCGCGGAGGGCACCGGCGCGGCACAGGGAGACGCGGCAGCGGGGGGAAGCGGCGAGGAUGCGGAGGGCGCGGGACGCGCUGUGAAGGCACUCCGGGCUGGAGCAGGUGGAGGUCAGGGACACCAGGAGGGGACCGGCGCCUGCGGGGACAAGAAAGGGGGAGGGGAUGCUGAUCUAGAACCAGCUGUGGGUGGAGAACCCAUCGGGGACAUCGGUUGGGGACAAUAGAGGGGGAUGCGGGAGGAUGUAGAAGCUGCCGAGGGGGGAGAGCCCGUUGGGGACAUCACCUGGGGACAAUACAGAGUGAUGUGGGGGGAUCUAGAACCUGUCGGGGGGGAGAACUCAUUGGGGACAUCACUUGGGGACAAUAGCAAGGGAUAUGAGGGGAUCUAGAACCCAUUUGGGGGGGAAAACCCAUUGCUGAGAUCACUGAAAGACAACACAGCAGAAUGCGGGGGGAUCUAGAACCCGUUGGGGGUGGAGAACCCAUUGGGGACAUCGGUUGGGGACAAUAGAGGGGGAUGCAGGAGAAUGUAGAAGCCGUCGAGGGGGGAGAGCCCGUUGGGGACAUCACCUGGGGACAAUAUAGAGUGAUGUGGGGGGAUCUAGAACCCGUUGGAGGGGAGAACUCAUUGGGGACAUCACUUGGGGACAAUAACAAGGGAUAUGAGGGGAUCUAGAACCCAUUUGAGGGGGAAAACCCAUUGCU
RNAcentral lists this long non-coding RNA (1194 nucleotides) under Numida meleagris (helmeted guineafowl). RNAcentral's name for it is "lncRNA (ENSNMEG00000001902.1)". The record is from RNAcentral. Lineage: Eukaryota; Metazoa; Chordata; Aves; Galliformes; Numididae.